RNAcentral lists this ribosomal RNA (253 nucleotides) under uncultured Oscillospiraceae bacterium. RNAcentral describes it as "partial 16S ribosomal RNA". It matches the Rfam family "Bacterial small subunit ribosomal RNA", at positions 524 to 776 of the family's 1533-position model. The record is from RNAcentral. Lineage: Bacteria; Bacillati; Bacillota; Clostridia; Eubacteriales; Oscillospiraceae.
AACGUAGGUGGCAAGCGUUGUCCGGAAUUACUGGGUGUAAAGGGAGCGCAGGCGGAAUGGCAAGUUGAAUGUGAAAACUAUGGGCUCAACCCAUAGAUUGCGUUCAAAACUGCUGUUCUUGAGUAAUGUAGAGGUAGGCGGAAUUCCCGGUGUAGCGGUGGAAUGCGUAGAUAUCGGGAGGAACACCAGUGGCGAAGGCGGCCUACUGGGCAUUUACUGACGCUGAGGCUCGAAAGUAUGGGGAGCAAACAGG